AAGGCCUUAGCUUAAUUAAAGCGUUUGAGUUGCAUUCAGAAUAUGUGAGAUAGAGUCUUGCAGGUCUUA
Molecule: transfer RNA, 69 nt
Filed under: Robinsia catherinae
Lineage: Eukaryota; Metazoa; Chordata; Actinopteri; Anguilliformes; Chlopsidae
Also listed under: 3 other names
Description: tRNA-Ala
Rfam family: tRNA
About the family: Transfer RNA (tRNA) molecules are approximately 80 nucleotides in length. Their secondary structure includes four short double-helical elements and three loops (D, anti-codon, and T loops).
Source: RNAcentral